Amblyraja radiata (thorny skate) is the source of this 574-nucleotide long non-coding RNA. RefSeq lists it as uncharacterized. The record is from RefSeq and is a predicted model, not a curated record. NCBI's taxonomy places the organism in Eukaryota, Metazoa, Chordata, Chondrichthyes, Rajiformes, Rajidae. The transcript is spliced from 2 exons.
UACACACAGGUGGUAUCGGGACAGGCGUUGCAUCUCCAGCAGGUUGCAGGUGAAAGCGCCUGGUUUGGUUGGAAGGGACGUAUGAAGCAAGGAGUUACAGAGGUAGUGGUCUCUGCAGAAGGCAGAAGGAGGUGGGGAUGGGAAGAUGUGACUGGUGGUGGUAUCACGUUGAGGGAGACGGGAAUGUUGGAGAAGGGAAAGGGGGAUGGGGGGUAAAACGAGACGAACAAAAUGAGCAAGUUAUCUAAGUAUUGGUGAAUUCACAGUUGACUCCAUUAGACGGCAAUGAGCGUGGGGCACAGGGUGAUUGUAGUGUCAUUAGGAAGUGAUGGUAGUAGUGAAUGGUGCAGGUACGGAUCCGUACAGCCCACUGUAAGAUCGGUACAUGGGGUAAGGCCGCCUUCAUUGCCACCACCACAACAAAAGGUUGCUACAAAAAUAGUCACCACUGAGUGGUUUGCGCUAGUGUUUUUAUUUAAAUUAGUCCUCGUCAGACCAGAAUGACCAGAUUCCUGUCGGAACUGAAUGUAAACAUUAACUUUGGCUGCAAACAAGGAACUGCAGGUGUUUUUUU